AUUGAACGCUGGCGGCAUGCUUUACACAUGCAAGUCGAGCGGCAGCGCGGGGGCAACCCUGGCGGCGAGCGGCGAACGGGUGAGUAAUGCAUCGGAACGUAUCCUCGAGUGGGGGAUAACCCAGCGAAAGUUGGGCUAAUAACGCAUGAGCUCUGAGGAGGAAAGCGGGGGACCUGCGAGGGCCUCGCGCUGGAGGAGCGGCCGAUGUCCGAUUAGCUAGUUGGUGGGGUAAAGGCUUACCAAGGCGACGAUCGGUAGCUGGUCUGAGAGGAUGAUCAGCCACACUGGGACUGAGACACGGCCCAGACUCCUACGGGAGGCAGCAGUGGGGAAUUUUGGACAAUGGGGGCAACCCUGAUCCAGCCAUGCCGCGUGAGUGAAGAAGGCCUUCGGGUUGUAAAGCUCUUUCGGACGGAACGAAAUGGGCGGGACUAAUACUCCUGUCUGAUGACGGUACCGUAAGAAGAAGCACCGGCUAACUACGUG
RNAcentral lists this ribosomal RNA (486 nucleotides) under uncultured bacterium. RNAcentral describes it as "partial 16S ribosomal RNA". It matches the Rfam family "Bacterial small subunit ribosomal RNA", at positions 29 to 507 of the family's 1533-position model. The record is from RNAcentral.